This 250-nucleotide ribosomal RNA is filed under the name uncultured bacterium. Its description in RNAcentral is "partial 16S ribosomal RNA". It matches the Rfam family "Bacterial small subunit ribosomal RNA", at positions 524 to 773 of the family's 1533-position model. The record is from RNAcentral.
UACGGAGGGUGCAAGCGUUAAUCGGAAUUACUGGGCGUAAAGCGUGCGUAGGCGGUUCGUUAAGUCUGUUGUGAAAGCCCCGGGCUCAACCUGGGAAUGGCAAUGGAUACUGGCGAGCUAGAGUGUGUCAGAGGAUGGUGGAAUUCCCGGUGUAGCGGUGAAAUGCGUAGAGAUCGGGAGGAACAUCAGUGGCGAAGGCGGCCAUCUGGGACAACACUGACGCUGAGGCACGAAAGCGUGGGGAGCAAAC